This 69-nucleotide transfer RNA is filed under the name Marmota monax (woodchuck). It matches the Rfam family "tRNA". Rfam says of the family: Transfer RNA (tRNA) molecules are approximately 80 nucleotides in length. Their secondary structure includes four short double-helical elements and three loops (D, anti-codon, and T loops). Further hydrogen bonds mediate the characteristic L-shaped molecular structure. tRNAs have two regions of fundamental functional importance: the anti-codon, which is responsible for specific mRNA codon recognition, and the 3' end, to which the tRNAs corresponding amino acid is attached (by aminoacyl-tRNA synthetases). tRNAs cope with the degeneracy of the genetic code in two manners: having more than one tRNA (with a specific anti-codon) for a particular amino acid; and 'wobble' base-pairing, i.e. permitting non-standard base-pairing at the 3rd anti-codon position. Lineage: Eukaryota; Metazoa; Chordata; Mammalia; Rodentia; Sciuridae. RNAcentral also lists the same sequence under 1 other name. The record is from Rfam by way of RNAcentral.
GGGGUUGUGGCUCAGUGGCAGAGUGCUUGCCUAGCAUGUGGGAGGCACUGGGUUCGAUUCUCAGCACCA